AAUAUUGGACAAUGGGCGAAAGCCUGAUCCAGCCAUGCCGCGUGUGUGAAGUAGGUCUUCGGAUUGUACAGCACUUUAAGUUGGGAGGAAGGGGUGUAGAUUAAUACUCUGCAAUUUUGACGUUACCAACAGAAUAAGCACCUGCUAACUUCGUUCUAGCAGCCGCGGUAAUACGAAGGGUGCAAUCGUUAACCGGAAUUACUGGGCGUAAAGCGCGCGUAGGUGGUUCAGUAAGAUGGGUGUGAAAUCCCCGGGCUUAACCUGGGAACUGCUUUCAUAACUGCUGAGCUAGAGUAUGGCAGAGGGUGGUGGAAUUUCCUGUGUAGCGGUGAAAUGCGUAGAUAUAGGAAGGAACACCAGUGGCGAAGGCGACCACCUGGGCUAAUACUGACACUGAGGUGCGAAAGCGUGGGGAGCAAAC
RNAcentral lists this ribosomal RNA (421 nucleotides) under uncultured bacterium. RNAcentral's name for it is "partial 16S ribosomal RNA". It matches the Rfam family "Bacterial small subunit ribosomal RNA", at positions 360 to 773 of the family's 1533-position model. The record is from RNAcentral.